AUUGAAGAAUCUCUAACCAGAAGGCACAGAUCAUUCAUGGGGAUGUAUAACCGAAACCAGUCCUCUCCACCGCCUGGGGAUCUUCACUUUCGCAGUCUACGACUGCCUGUGACUCCAGAAAGACAAACUGCAGAUUGGCCAAGAUGGGGAAAUUGAGGCAGAGAAGCCAAGACAUGUGCUAAAGGUCAUGCAGGCUAUGAAUGGAGCUGGAAUGUGAACGCAGGCCAUAUGACCCCAGAGCCCAUGUUCUUGAACCCUUAGAAAGACAGCAGCAACACACCUGGUGCAGCAGCUGCUUAGUUGGAGUGGCUGACAAGUUCUUGGCACAUUUGUUCCAUAGUAAAGAAGAAUUUAACUUGCAAGUGAAAAACCUCUGCCUUUGGCCAUGGAUUAAAAAGAUGUUAUAUGAUGAAGUUUACUUCCUAAGGAAAGAGAUCCUGGCAAAUGGGUGUUUCUUCCCAGAAAGGGAUUUUUCUCCAUGACUGCAGUUGAAUUGCAGAGUUGUAGAGACAUCCAGGUUCUUGUUAGUGUGGACGAACUAUCCAUGAAGAUCUUAAAUGCAGGAGUCUAUGAGAACACCAAUUAAUCAAUUGUCAAAUAUUUGAGUAUCUAUUGUGAGCAAGGCACUGUAUAACCAUUAUGUCAUGUAUUAAUCUAUUGGAAAAUAAUUUGACCUUGGUUGUAUAGUAUUUUGUUUAUUUUUACCUUAAAUUUUGUAACUCUAUUAUAAGUGUUUACAUACCAACUAUUUGAGGGCUGUAUGCAAGGUAUAGUUUUAUUGUACUUUGCUUCUUCUGUUACAAUAAAGUACAAGUACAGUAAAAUAAUCA
RNAcentral lists this long non-coding RNA (830 nucleotides) under Homo sapiens (human). RNAcentral describes it as "HAND2 antisense RNA 1". The record is from RNAcentral. Lineage: Eukaryota; Metazoa; Chordata; Mammalia; Primates; Hominidae.